GCAGAGAUCGCCAAGCCUGGCCAAAACACCUAAUCGGGUGGCUAGCGGCGCUAGACCGAGGCUCUAGUCUCAUAGGGGUUCGUGGGUUCAAAUCCCACUCUCUGCA
Molecule: transfer RNA, 106 nt
Filed under: Promethearchaeota archaeon
Lineage: Archaea; Promethearchaeati; Promethearchaeota
Description: Candidatus Lokiarchaeota archaeon (microbial mat metagenome) tRNA-Leu
Rfam family: tRNA
About the family: Transfer RNA (tRNA) molecules are approximately 80 nucleotides in length. Their secondary structure includes four short double-helical elements and three loops (D, anti-codon, and T loops). Further hydrogen bonds mediate the characteristic L-shaped molecular structure. tRNAs have two regions of fundamental functional importance: the anti-codon, which is responsible for specific mRNA codon recognition, and the 3' end, to which the tRNAs corresponding amino acid is attached (by aminoacyl-tRNA synthetases). tRNAs cope with the degeneracy of the genetic code in two manners: having more than one tRNA (with a specific anti-codon) for a particular amino acid; and 'wobble' base-pairing, i.e. permitting non-standard base-pairing at the 3rd anti-codon position.
Source: RNAcentral